GACGAACGCUGGCGGCGUGCUUAACACAUGCAAGUCGAACGGAAAGGCCCUGCUUUUGUGGGGUGCUCGAGUGGCGAACGGGUGAGUAACACGUGAGUAACCUGCCCUUGACUUUGGGAUAACUUCAGGAAACUGGGGCUAAUACCGGAUAGGAGCUCCUGCUGCAUGGUGGGGGUUGGAAAGUUUCGGCGGUUGGGGAUGGACUCGCGGCUUAUCAGCUUGUUGGUGGGGUAGUGGCUUACCAAGGCGUUGACGGGUAGCCGGCCUGAGAGGGUGACCGGCCACAUUGGGACUGAGAUACGGCCCAGACUCCUACGGGAGGCAGCAGUGGGGAAUAUUGCACAAUGGGCGGAAGCCUGAUGCAGCAACGCCGCGUGCGGGAUGACGGCCUUCGGGUUGUAAACCGCUUUCGCCUGUGACGAAGCGUGAGUGACGGUAAUGGGUGAAGAAGCACCGGCUAACUACGUG
Molecule: ribosomal RNA, 468 nt
Filed under: uncultured bacterium
Lineage: Bacteria
Description: partial 16S ribosomal RNA
Rfam family: Bacterial small subunit ribosomal RNA
Source: RNAcentral